Molecule: transfer RNA, 74 nt
Filed under: Loxodonta africana (African savanna elephant)
Lineage: Eukaryota; Metazoa; Chordata; Mammalia; Proboscidea; Elephantidae
Rfam family: tRNA
About the family: Transfer RNA (tRNA) molecules are approximately 80 nucleotides in length. Their secondary structure includes four short double-helical elements and three loops (D, anti-codon, and T loops).
Source: Rfam by way of RNAcentral
CCCUCUGUGGCGUAAACAGCUAAAGCACUUGGCUGUUAAACAAAAGGUUGGAGGUUCAAUUCCACCCAGGCGUG